AACGAACGCUGGCGGCAUGCCUAACACAUGCAAGUCGAACGAGACCUUCGGGUCUAGUGGCGCACGGGUGCGUAACGCGUGGGAACCUGCCCUUAGGUUCGGAAUAACUCCCCGAAAGGGGUGCUAAUACCGGAUAAUGUCUUCGGACCAAAGAUUUAUCGCCUUUGGAUGGGCCCGCGUUGGAUUAGCUAGUUGGUAGGGUAAAAGCCUACCAAGGCGACGAUCCAUAGCUGGUCUGAGAGGAUGAUCAGCGACACUGGGACUGAGACACGGCCCAGACUCCUACGGGAGGCAGCAGUGGGGAAUAUUGGACAAUGGGCGAAAGCCUGAUCCAGCAAUGCCGCGUGAGUGAUGAAGGCCUUAGGGUUGUAAAGCUCUUUUACCCGGGAUGAUAAUGACAGUACCGGGAGAAUAAGCUCCGGCUAACUCCGU
This 432-nucleotide ribosomal RNA is filed under the name uncultured bacterium. RNAcentral describes it as "partial 16S ribosomal RNA". It matches the Rfam family "Bacterial small subunit ribosomal RNA", at positions 29 to 506 of the family's 1533-position model. The record is from RNAcentral.